Molecule: ribosomal RNA, 516 nt
Filed under: uncultured bacterium
Lineage: Bacteria
Description: bacterial SSU rRNA
Rfam family: Bacterial small subunit ribosomal RNA
Source: RNAcentral
GGACAAUGGGCGCAAGCCUGAUCCAGCCAUGCCGCGUGAGUGAAGAAGGCCCUCGGGUUGUAAAGCUCUUUUGUCCGGAAAGAAAAGCAUUCGGUUAAUACCCGAGUGUUCUGACGGUACCGGAAGAAUAAGCACCGGCUAACUUCGUGCCAGCAGCCGCGGUAAUACGAAGGGUGCAAGCGUUACUCGGAAUUACUGGGCGUAAAGCGUGCGUAGGUGGUUUGUUAAGUCUGAUGUGAAAGCCCUGGGCUCAACCUGGGAAUGGCACUGGAUACUGGCAAGCUAGAGUGCGGUAGAGGAUAGUGGAAUUCCUGGUGUAGCAGUGAAAUGCGUAGAGAUCAGGAGGAACAUCCGUGGCGAAGGCGACUGUCUGGACCAGCACUGACACUGAGGCACGAAAGCGUGGGGAGCAAACAGGAUUAGAUACCCUGGUAGUCCACGCCCUAAACGAUGUCAACUGGUUGUUGGGUCUUAACUGACUCAGUAACGAAGCUAACGCGUGAAGUUGACCGCCUG